RNAcentral lists this ribosomal RNA (2586 nucleotides) under Triticum aestivum (bread wheat). RNAcentral's name for it is "partial small subunit ribosomal RNA". Lineage: Eukaryota; Viridiplantae; Streptophyta; Magnoliopsida; Poales; Poaceae. The record is from RNAcentral.
AUGGCUUCCGCGGCCCCCACGAGCGUGUGCCCCAUCGCGUCCGUCUCCGGGCGCUCGUCGCCGGCGAGCCACCGUGCCGUGAGGUGCUGGAGCGCGAGGAGGGGGAGGCGCCGGAGGUCGGCGGGGCUGAGGGCGAGGUGCGCGGGCGGCCAGCCCUCCGCCGUGAAGCCCGGCCCGGAGACCCCCGCGGACGACGGGUCGGUCGGGGACGAGGAGCAGCCGCACCCGCAGUUCGACCUCAACCUCGCCGUCGUGCUCGCCGGCUUCGCGUUCGAAGCCUACAGCACCCCACCCGCAGACGCGGGCUGGCGCGAGACGGACACGGCCGAGUGUCAGACGGUGUUCCUAUCCGAUGUGUUUCUCCGUGAAGUAUACGAUGGCCAACUAGUCGUUAGGCUGAAGAAAGGCAACAAUCUUCCUGCAAUGGAUCCAUGGGGUACAAGUGAUCCUUAUGUAGUUCUACAACUUAAUGGUCAAACUGCAAAGAGCCAAAUUAAAUGGGGGACGAAGGAGCCAACCUGGAAUCAAGAUUUCACAUUUAAUAUUAGGACAUCUCUAGAAAAUCUACUCCAGAUUGAGGCUUGGGAUGCAAACCUUAUCACCCCACACAAACGAAUGGGAAAUGCUGGAUUGUAUCUUGAAACACUUUGCGAUGGAAAUAAACAUGACAUCACUGUCGAAUUAGAAGGCCUUGGUGCUGAUGGUGGUGGAACUAUUGAUUUGGAGGUCAAAUACAAGAGUUAUGAUGACAUUGAGCGUGAUAAACAAUGGUGGAGAACGCCUUUUGUGUCUGACUUUCUUGAAAAGAGCAGCCUAGGAUCUGCUCUUAGGACGGUCCUUGGAUCUGAGACUGUAAAUGCAAGCCAGUUUGUGCAAUCUGCAUUUGGGCAACUGAGUUCUUUCACUGACACAAACCUUCUAAAGCCAUCGUCUUCUGAUAGUGAAGCUGAGGUUUCUGAAAGGCCUGGAGAAUCCAUGGAUAACUCUAUUGGUUCAGAUGAACUGCAACAACAGAAGAUUGAUUCGAUAGCUUUUGGAGAAAACUCAGAUUCCCAAAGUGAACCUGUAGACACUGCUGCCGUUGUUAACAGUGAGGGAAACACAUCAACCGAUAUGAAGGAACCUGACGAGUACUUCUGGAGUGCUUUCACCAAAACACUCAACCAAAAUGUUCUUAAGAACUUUGGAUAUUCUCUUCCAGAGGCCAAGCAAUUGGAUGGAUUUGACCUGCUAAGUUCACUUGGAUCAAAAUCACGUGAAAUGGCUGAACAGCUAUAUUUAGAAUCUGGACUGGCGACAGCAGAUGCAUCAACCAGUGAUGGCAGCGAAACAACUCCUGAACAUACAGUCAAUGCUGACAAUGAAGAUAGCACAACGCCAGCUAAAGAGGCAGUGCAGGCUUCCUUUCCAGACAUUAAUGAAGUAUCUCGGGAUGUAUUGUCUCAAACAGAGAACGUACUAGGAGCUUUGGUGAUUCUUUCUAAGAACUUCUCAUCUCAAGGCAAGGAUUCAGUAGAUGAAGCAAACCGGAAAGAUAAUUCAAACGCAGAAGAACAAGGUGCUGCAGGUUCUGUUGAUGAGGAUGGUGCUCCUGUUGCAUCCACCGAAGUGUCCAUAAAUACACAGAAAACAGAAGACACACGUCAACUGUUUGCAAGUGCCGAGACUGCUGUGGAGGCAUGGGCUAUGCUUGCCACUUCAAUGGGGCGUUCCAGUUUUAUAAAAUCAGACUUUGAGAAGAUAUGUUUUCUGGAUAAUGUUUCAACUGACACACAGGUUGCCAUUUGGCGUGAUUCUUCACGAAGAAGACUGGUUGUUGCCUUUCGAGGAACUGAGCAAACAAGGUGGAAGGAUUUGGUAACUGACUUGAUGCUUGUCCCUGCUGGACUAAACCCUGAGAGGCUGGGUGGUGACUUCAAACAAGAACUUCAAGUUCACAGUGGAUUCUUAAGCGCAUAUGACUCUGUCAGGAAUAGGAUCAUGGCUCUUGUCAGACAUGCCAUCGGAUAUAUGGAUGAAGAAGAUGCAGAAACCAUACCUAGGUGGCACAUCUACGUAACUGGACAUAGUUUAGGUGGAGCACUGGCAACCCUUCUCGCUCUUGAACUUUCAUCAAGUCAAAUGGCCAAGAAUGGUGUUAUAUUCGUGACAGUGUACAAUUUUGGCUCUCCUAGAGUUGGAAAUAGAAGGUUUGCUGAUGUCUACAAUGCGAAAGUAAAAGAUAGCUGGAGAGUUGUCAAUCACCGAGAUAUCAUUCCAACAGUGCCGCGUCUUAUGGGCUAUUGCCAUGUGGAAACACCAGUUUAUCUUAAAUGUGGAGAUCUAACAGAUGCACUGGCGAAGGAAAUUUUAGAUGAAGACCAAGGUGAUGAGAUAGGCGAGUACACCCCUGACGUGCUUGUUAGUGAAUUUAUGAAAGGAGAGACACAGCUUGUGGAAAAACUACUCCAGACGGAGAUAAAUCUACUUCGCUCAAUCAGGGAUGGCUCGGCCCUUAUGCAGCACAUGGAAGACUUUUACUACGUCACACUUCUAGAGACUGUGAGAUCAAGGUACCAAUUGGUUGAUGAUGCAAGCCAAGAAUAG